UUGCUUCUCUUGAGAGCGGCGGACGGGUGAGUAAUGCCUAGGAAUCUGCCUGGUAGUGGGGGAUAACGCUCGGAAACGGACGCUAAUACCGCAUACGUCCUACGGGAGAAAGCAGGGGACCUUCGGGCCUUGCGCUAUCAGAUGAGCCUAGGUCGGAUUAGCUAGUUGGUGAGGUAAUGGCUCACCAAGGCGACGAUCCGUAACUGGUCUGAGAGGAUGAUCAGUCACACUGGAACUGAGACACGGUCCAGACUCCUACGGGAGGCAGCAGUGGGGAAUAUUGGACAAUGGGCGAAAGCCUGAUCCAGCCAUGCCGCGUGUGUGAAGAAGGUCUUCGGAUUGUAAAGCACUUUAAGUUGGGAGGAAGGGCAUUAACCUAAUACGUUGGUGUCUUGACGUUACCGACAGAAUAAGCACCGGCUAACUCUGUGCCAGCAGCCGCGGUAAUACAGAGGGUGCAAGCGUUAAUCGGAAUUACUGGGCGUAAAGCGCGCGUAGGUGGUUUGUUAAGUUGGAUGUGAAAUCCC
RNAcentral lists this ribosomal RNA (527 nucleotides) under Pseudomonas sp. RNAcentral describes it as "bacterial SSU rRNA". It matches the Rfam family "Bacterial small subunit ribosomal RNA", at positions 80 to 603 of the family's 1533-position model. Lineage: Bacteria; Pseudomonadati; Pseudomonadota; Gammaproteobacteria; Pseudomonadales; Pseudomonadaceae. The record is from RNAcentral.